Long non-coding RNA from Juglans microcarpa x Juglans regia, 548 nucleotides. RefSeq lists it as uncharacterized. The transcript has 2 exons. The record is from RefSeq and is a predicted model, not a curated record. Lineage: Eukaryota; Viridiplantae; Streptophyta; Magnoliopsida; Fagales; Juglandaceae.
GUAGAAUACAGCUAAUCAUAAAUGGACCAAUAUCUCCAGCUGAUCUCGAGGACUUGGGAGUUGGUGCAAGAUGAUUCCCAGGGCUUCUCUCACCAUCCUCUUCAUUGCGCUCCUAAUUUCGGCUGAAUUAAUGGCUCCAUCAGAAAUCAGAUCAACAAACAUGCCGACCAGAGUACUACCAAAGACGAGAUACCACGGCGAGUACUUUACCAGCUGUAAAAUUCAGAGUCCUGGUCAUGGUUCACCACGGGGCCCAAGUUAUAAGCCGCCAAGGUGCCCCCAUUGCUAACAGUUGGUCUUGGUUGAAGGUGGCCGGACCUCUAGCCUCGAGUCCGUGACCGAUCGUUGUUCAAAUAUCAAUCAAUUUUAUAAUUAUCUAAAUCUUCGAUCGUAUGUGACCGCAGGAUAAGAAUGAGGUAUUAUGUAUAAUGGUCCUAAUGGUCCUGGUGAUCAAAAACCUAAAAGCCUUCGUAAAAAAGUACCUAUAUUUCCAUCAAGCUGUAUAAGCCUUUGUGUUAUAUUAUGUUUGUUUAAACAAGAGCUGUGAC